UUGACCUCGGAUCAGGUAGGGAUACCCGCUGAACUUAAGCAUAUCAAUAAGCGGAGGAAAAGAAACCAACAGGGAUUGCCUUCAGUAACGGCGA
This 94-nucleotide ribosomal RNA is filed under the name uncultured Helotiales. RNAcentral describes it as "partial 28S ribosomal RNA". It matches the Rfam family "Eukaryotic large subunit ribosomal RNA", at positions 1 to 92 of the family's 3401-position model. The record is from RNAcentral. Lineage: Eukaryota; Fungi; Ascomycota; Leotiomycetes; Helotiales.